This 397-nucleotide ribosomal RNA is filed under the name uncultured bacterium. RNAcentral's name for it is "bacterial SSU rRNA". It matches the Rfam family "Bacterial small subunit ribosomal RNA", at positions 28 to 424 of the family's 1533-position model. The record is from RNAcentral.
GAUGAACGCUAGCGGCAGGCCUAAUACAUGCAAGUCGAACGGUAACAUGAGUAGCAAUACUUGAUGACGAGUGGCGCACGGGUGCGUAACACGUAUGCAAUCUACCUUUAACAGGUGAAUAGCCCGAAGAAAUUCGGAUUAAAACACCAUAGUAUUGAUUAGUGGCAUCACUGAUGAAUUAAAACUCCGGUGGUUAAAGAUGAGCAUGCGCGACAUUAGCUGGUUGGUGAGGUAAUGGCUCACCAAGGCGACGAUGUCUAGGGGAUCUGAGAGGAUUAACCCCCACACUGGUACUGAGACACGGACCAGACUCCUACGGGAGGCAGCAGUAAGGAAUAUUGGACAAUGGUGGGAACACUGAUCCAGCCAUGCCGCGUGAGUGAAGAAGGCCUCGGUU